GCCCCCGUAGCCCAACCGGCAGAGGCGCACGGCUCAAAAUCGUGACAGUGUGGGUUCGAAUCCCACCGGGGGUA
This 74-nucleotide transfer RNA is filed under the name Actinomycetota bacterium. RNAcentral describes it as "tRNA-Leu". It matches the Rfam family "tRNA". Rfam says of the family: Transfer RNA (tRNA) molecules are approximately 80 nucleotides in length. Their secondary structure includes four short double-helical elements and three loops (D, anti-codon, and T loops). The record is from RNAcentral. Lineage: Bacteria; Bacillati; Actinomycetota.